Molecule: ribosomal RNA, 587 nt
Filed under: Peregrinus maidis (corn hopper)
Lineage: Eukaryota; Metazoa; Arthropoda; Insecta; Hemiptera; Delphacidae
Description: eukaryotic LSU rRNA
Rfam family: Eukaryotic large subunit ribosomal RNA
Source: RNAcentral
UUAAGUCUUGACGAGUAAGAGGGUCGCGACGGUGAGCGCAGAAGGGUCAGGGCGAGAGCCUGCCUGGAGCCGCCGUUGGUGCAGAUCUUGGUGGUAGUAGCAAAUACUCUAGCGAGGGCCUGGAGGACUGACGUGGAGAAGGGUUUCUUGUGAACAGCCGUUGCACAAGAGUCAGUCGACCCUGAGCCCUAGGAGAAAUCCGAUGACGAUGGGUGGCUUGACAACACAACAAUCCACAGACUGUUUUAAGUGAAUUACUCUGUUGUCUGUACUGACUACAAGUUGACACUGAACAGCUCCUAUUGGGCAAAAGGGAAUCCGGUUCCUAUUCCGGAACCCGGCUGCGUAACCGCUACUUUGCGGGCACUUGUUCGCGAGCGCUCGUCGGGGUAACCCAAACUGGCCUGGAGACGCCGGCGGGGGGUCUGGAAAGAGUUUUCUUUUCUUUAUAAGCGUUCGAGUACCCUGGAAUCCUAUAGCAGGGAGAUAGGGUUUGGAACGCGAAGAGCACCGCAGUUGCGGCGGUGUCCGGACCUUCCCCCCGGACCUUGAAAAUCCAGGUGAGGGCCACGCGGAAGUCGCGCCGG